This 3007-nucleotide ribosomal RNA is filed under the name Salmonella enterica. Its description in RNAcentral is "23S ribosomal RNA". It matches the Rfam family "Bacterial large subunit ribosomal RNA". The record is from RNAcentral. Lineage: Bacteria; Pseudomonadati; Pseudomonadota; Gammaproteobacteria; Enterobacterales; Enterobacteriaceae. RNAcentral also lists the same sequence under 1 other name.
GGUUAAGCGACUAAGCGUACACGGUGGAUGCCCUGGCAGUCAGAGGCGAUGAAGGGCGUGCUAAUCUGCGAUAAGCGCCGGUAAGGUGAUAUGAACCGUUAUAACCGGCGAUACCCGAAUGGGGAAACCCAGUGUGAUUCGUCACACUAUCAUUAACUGAAUCCAUAGGUUAAUGAGGCGAACCGGGGGAACUGAAACAUCUAAGUACCCCGAGGAAAAGAAAUCAACCGAGAUUCCCCCAGUAGCGGCGAGCGAACGGGGAGGAGCCCAGAGCCUGAAUCAGCAUGUGUGUUAGUGGAAGCGUCUGGAAAGGCGCGCGAUACAGGGUGACAGCCCCGUACACAAAAGCGCAUGUGCUGUGAGCUCGAUGAGUAGGGCGGGACACGUGGUAUCCUGUCUGAAUAUGGGGGGACCAUCCUCCAAGGCUAAAUACUCCUGACUGACCGAUAGUGAACCAGUACCGUGAGGGAAAGGCGAAAAGAACCCCGGCGAGGGGAGUGAAAAAGAACCUGAAACCGUGUACGUACAAGCAGUGGGAGCCCCACCACUAAGCCAGUGGUGAACUCCACAUACGCAUCCUUUGCUGAGGAUACGGUUAACGGAGCGAAAGCGACGUUCAACCGCAAAAGAAGCAGAGGGGGCUUAGUGGUGGGGUGACUGCGUACCUUUUGUAUAAUGGGUCAGCGACUUAUAUUCUGUAGCAAGGUUAACCGAAUAGGGGAGCCGCAGGGAAACCGAGUCUUAAUUGGGCGUUAAGUUGCAGGGUAUAGACCCGAAACCCGGUGAUCUAGCCAUGGGCAGGUUGAAGGUUGGGUAACACUAACUGGAGGACCGAACCGACUAAUGUUGAAAAAUUAGCGGAUGACCUGUGGCUGGGGGUGAAAGGCCAAUCAAACCGGGAGAUAGCUGGUUCUCCCCGAAAGCUAUUUAGGUAGCGCCUCGUGAAUUCAUCUCCGGGGGUAGAGCACUGUUUCGGCUAGGGGGCCAUCCCGGCUUACCAACCCGAUGCAAACUGCGAAUACCGGAGAAUGUUAUCACGGGAGACACACGGCGGGUGCUAACGUCCGUCGUGAAGAGGGAAACAACCCAGACCGCCAGCUAAGGUCCCAAAGUCAUGGUUAAGUGGGAAACGAUGUGGGAAGGCCCAGACAGCCAGGAUGUUGGCUUAGAAGCAGCCAUCAUUUAAAGAAAGCGUAAUAGCUCACUGGUCGAGUCGGCCUGCGCGGAAGAUGUAACGGGGCUAAACCAUGCACCGAAGCUGCGGCAGCGACGCUGAUGCGUUGUUGGGUAGGGGAGCGUUCUGUAAGCCUGUGAAGGUGUGUCGUGAGGCAUGCUGGAGGUAUCAGAAGUGCGAAUGCUGACAUAAGUAACGAUAAAGCGGGUGAAAAGCCCGCUCGCCGGAAGACCAAGGGUUCCUGUCCAACGUUAAUCGGGGCAGGGUGAGUCGACCCCUAAGGCGAGGCCGAAAGGCGUAGUCGAUGGGAAACGGGUUAAUAUUCCCGUACUUGGUGUUACUGCGAAGGGGGGACGGAGAAGGCUAUGUUGGCCGGGCGACGGUUGUCCCGGUUUAAGCGUGUAGGUGUGUGUUCCAGGUAAAUCCGGUUCACUUUAACACUGAGGCGUGAUGACGAGGCACUACGGUGCUGAAGCAACAAAUGCCCUGCUUCCAGGAAAAGCCUCUAAGCAUCAGGUAACAUCAAAUCGUACCCCAAACCGACACAGGUGGUCAGGUAGAGAAUACCAAGGCGCUUGAGAGAACUCGGGUGAAGGAACUAGGCAAAAUGGUGCCGUAACUUCGGGAGAAGGCACGCUGACACGUAGGUGAAGUGAUUUACUCACGGAGCUGAAGUCAGUCGAAGAUACCAGCUGGCUGCAACUGUUUAUUAAAAACACAGCACUGUGCAAACACGAAAGUGGACGUAUACGGUGUGACGCCUGCCCGGUGCCGGAAGGUUAAUUGAUGGGGUCAGCGCAAGCGAAGCUCCUGAUCGAAGCCCCGGUAAACGGCGGCCGUAACUAUAACGGUCCUAAGGUAGCGAAAUUCCUUGUCGGGUAAGUUCCGACCUGCACGAAUGGCGUAAUGAUGGCCAGGCUGUCUCCACCCGAGACUCAGUGAAAUUGAACUCGCUGUGAAGAUGCAGUGUACCCGCGGCAAGACGGAAAGACCCCGUGAACCUUUACUAUAGCUUGACACUGAACAUUGAGCCUUGAUGUGUAGGAUAGGUGGGAGGCUUUGAAGUGUGGACGCCAGUCUGCAUGGAGCCGACCUUGAAAUACCACCCUUUAAUGUUUGAUGUUCUAACGUGGACCCGUAAUCCGGGUUGCGGACAGUGUCUGGUGGGUAGUUUGACUGGGGCGGUCUCCUCCUAAAGAGUAACGGAGGAGCACGAAGGUUGGCUAAUCCUGGUCGGACAUCAGGAGGUUAGUGCAAUGGCAUAAGCCAGCUUGACUGCGAGCGUGACGGCGCGAGCAGGUGCGAAAGCAGGUCAUAGUGAUCCGGUGGUUCUGAAUGGAAGGGCCAUCGCUCAACGGAUAAAAGGUACUCCGGGGAUAACAGGCUGAUACCGCCCAAGAGUUCAUAUCGACGGCGGUGUUUGGCACCUCGAUGUCGGCUCAUCACAUCCUGGGGCUGAAGUAGGUCCCAAGGGUAUGGCUGUUCGCCAUUUAAAGUGGUACGCGAGCUGGGUUUAGAACGUCGUGAGACAGUUCGGUCCCUAUCUGCCGUGGGCGCUGGAGAACUGAGGGGGGCUGCUCCUAGUACGAGAGGACCGGAGUGGACGCAUCACUGGUGUUCGGGUUGUCAUGCCAAUGGCACUGCCCGGUAGCUAAAUGCGGAAGAGAUAAGUGCUGAAAGCAUCUAAGCACGAAACUUGCCCCGAGAUGAGUUCUCCCUGAGACUUAGAGUCUCCUGAAGGAACGUUGAAGACGACGACGUUGAUAGGCCGGGUGUGUAAGCGCAGCGAUGCGUUGAGCUAACCGGUACUAAUGAACCGUGAGGCUUAACCUU